RNAcentral lists this ribosomal RNA (450 nucleotides) under uncultured bacterium. RNAcentral's name for it is "bacterial SSU rRNA". It matches the Rfam family "Bacterial small subunit ribosomal RNA", at positions 29 to 526 of the family's 1533-position model. The record is from RNAcentral.
AACGAACGCUGGCGGCAGGCUUAACACAUGCAAGUCGAGCGCCCCGCAAGGGGAGCGGCGGACGGGUGAGUAACGCGUGGGGAUGUACCCAGAGGUUCGGAAUAACCCAGGGAAACUUGGGCUAAUACCGGAUGAGCCCUGAGGGGGAAAGAUUUAUCGCCUUUGGAUCAACCCGCGUCGGAUUAGCUAGUUGGUGGGGUAAUGGCCUACCAAGGCGACGAUCCGUAGCUGGUCUGAGAGGAUGAUCAGCCACACUGGGACUGAGACACGGCCCAGACUCCUACGGGAGGCAGCAGUGGGGAAUAUUGGACAAUGGGCGCAAGCCUGAUCCAGCCAUGCCGCGUGAGUGAUGACGGCCUUAGGGUUGUAAAGCUCUUUCGCACGCGACGAUAAUGACGGUAGCGUGAGAAGAAGCCCCGGCUAACUUCGUGCCAGCCGCCGCAGUAACAC